Non-coding RNA from Drosophila virilis, 983 nucleotides. NCBI's taxonomy places the organism in Eukaryota, Metazoa, Arthropoda, Insecta, Diptera, Drosophilidae. The record is from RefSeq and is a predicted model, not a curated record.
AUAUUUGUUACGUAGAUCUUACUCAUCGAUAUUAGAAAUUUGAUUCAUUUUAAAAUGCGUUAAAAAGUAGUUGGUUCGUCGGUUAAAGAAUUAUCAUUCGAGUUGACAAAACGCAAAACAAAACAAGAAUAAUAAUUAAACAAUGCCAUUGCGGCAACAAGUUGUUAUAUGACUGCAAAUAAUAUCCACUUGAAUGCGAGGCAACACGUGGAUUUCUUGAUUAGUUAUCGUAACUGUAACUGGAAUACACAUGCACACAAAUGUAUGACAGUAUAUCACACACACACACGCACACAUACACAUGUAUUUAUGUGCACACGCACACAUUUUCAGAAUUCGCCUCGAAUUGCCGUAGCUAAAAUUCCAACAGACGCAACAACAACAAGACUUGAGUUCGACGCCGGAGUAAGCCGAGAGCUGAGCGUAAACAAAAGUCGCAAGCUUUUUUUUGCUGAAACGUAGCGAAGCUGGGUGUCACACGAGACCAAAAUGUUGUUGAAAAAAAAAAAAACUGAAGAAAAACAAUCAAAUCAGCAAAAAGUGAAAGAAAACAAAUUAACAAAAACCGGCAAAUUUUUGCGGCAUACGUGACAAUUAAGCAACUCUCAAUGGCGGCUAUGAGAUUGUUUUUUUUUUUUCUUUUUUCUAUGUCUCUGCUGCAGAGAACUGCCGCAGCGCUCUCUCUCCGCUCAGCGGGGGUGAAAGUGCGCGUGCAACACUGUUUGGAAUACAGUCGGCGCUAGGAUAUGCCGCAGCUACAACUGGUUUAUGAAAUUCCAGAAAAGAUUGAACUUGAAUUGAUAAACAUCAUCUGCGAUAAGACAAAUGCGUAGCCAAAGCAAAUUGAUACGAAGAAAAACAAAAUGGCAUAAUCAGCUGAUGGUAAGCAUAACGUAAACGCACACGCCACCACACGUAUGCGAGACACGUUUAAAGGCAAACAUGGCCAAAAAUAUAUAGACACGGUCACAUUCAUAAAAAAA